Molecule: small nuclear RNA, 105 nt
Organism: Sarcophilus harrisii (Tasmanian devil)
Lineage: Eukaryota; Metazoa; Chordata; Mammalia; Dasyuromorphia; Dasyuridae
Source: Ensembl
UUGCUUUGGCAGCACAAAUACUAAAAAAUUGGAAUGAUUCAGAGAAGAUUAGCAUGGCCCCUACACAAGGAUGUCAUGCAAAUUCAUGAAGCAUUUCAUAUAAGA